GAACCCCGCGAGGCAGGGUGAGGGGCGCCACCGAGGAAGCGCCCACCGGGCUCCCGGGGCUGCCAGGCCCCAAAUUGAGGAAGUUGACUGCCAGAUCACACUCUGUUGGCCCACGCGGAUAGAUUCCAUUCAUCCUUUCUAAUGUCUACACCAUAUUUUGGAUAACAUGCCAUCAUCUCACAUUGUGUUGAAAGAAGAAACCAGAAUGUUGGGGGUGAUGUAUGCCAUAUGGAUGAAUUUAAACAGUUUCGGCCUUGCAAUAAUUGGUAUACUUCUAAUUGCAUGUGAAAUUAUACUCUUUUUAACGAAAGAUGAAACUAUUCAGUGGCCACAUGAAACUGCGGCCAUUAUCCUAAAUGAAAUGACUCAGAAACAGAAAGUCAAAAACCACACAUUCUCAUUUAUAAGUGGGAGCAAAAAAGUUGUUACACACGGACAUACAGAGUAGAAUAAUACAAAUUGGAAACUCCAAAAGGGGGGAUGAAGGACGCCACCGAGGAAGCAGACCCCACCGGGCUCCCGAGGCUGCCAGGCCCCCCGCUCAGGGCGCUGCCUGCAGAACCACGCCCCCCUGUCCCUGUGCUAAGAGGGUGACGCGAGUGCCCGAAGCCCUGGCCUGGUUACCAUUCGCGACUCCCUCGUCCUGGGUUCUCCCAUUGCCAGGAAUGUUUUACUAGUAACCAUGGUAUAGUUGAGACGAUCCACUCUUGUCCUACGCAUUUCGGCACAAUACAGGCGUCUAGGAGGCUUACCUGGCAUUGCCUGAGAGAAUCUUCCAUCCAUUUAAGUACCCAGUAACAGAGGGAGCAAAGCAAAUCUUAUCCUCAAAGAACUGCAGCUGCUUGUUAGAUCUACCUGGUGGUUCCAUAGAGAAACUGCUCAGAGAACCUGCCUUUACCUCGCCUAAAACAGAACUAUCCCGGAGCUCAGGAAAGGAGUCCAUUCAUCCUCUAUAACUGCUAUACAAUAUCUCUGUUAAAAUGCUGAGAAGAUUUAUCCUAAAAGAAGGCACCAAAGCAAUGGGGGUUUACAGAGUACAUGUACAGAUACAGAGUAAAUCAAAACGACUGAGGCUGUGCAAAUAAUGAUUGGCCUGAUUCACAGUGCACUGGGAACUCUCUGAAUUCAUUGGAUUUUGCUAAGAGAGGAUUCAAGUGGUUCUGGUCCUAUCCCUAUAAUUGCUGUAGUAAUUUACUCAUUUUUGUCAUUAUUUUUUGGCUUCAAGGGAGAGAAGAUUUAGUAUAACACAUUCCCUUUUGCUUUGUGAAAAGGCCUCUGAGACAUCCCUGUACAGUCAUUUCACCCAGAGAAGGGCCUGGUGAUCUCUGCUCUGGAUAAAAGACAUUAUUUUCUCUAAGGCUUUCUUAUAGUGGGAGUCCUCAAGUUCAUCAACUCAGGAUCCAGUAGUGUAAUACAGAAGCCUGUUACGAGAUAUAAGGACUUCCCUCCUGUCUCUCACAGCCCCCCUUGAAUUGUAAUGAACAGCAUAACUAUUUGUGUGACUACACUUGGUAUAAUUCUAUUAAGCAUGGAGAUUGCAACUUUUGCAUUAAAUGCAACCACAUACAAUUGGUCAAACGUGGUUGGUAUGAUGCUUUUACAAUAUUUACUACUCUGCACCAUCUUAGAGAUGACCAUUGUAAUCAUAAUCAUCCAGUGGGUUGUAAGAGCAUUUCAUCAUGAAAAACACACUGAAGAAAGCACUUUGCCCUCGGAAAUCUCACUGUCGGAAUCCUUGGAAAUCACACCACGCACAACUUCUAUUUCUUCAUAAUUUGCAAAGAACCAGUGUGACUCCAGUCAAGAACAAAAGAUUAAUUGUGAAUUAGCGAAGAACUCUAAUUUUUUCAAGCAGCCACAUGGAAAACGCAUUCUAAUGAAAUCCUUUCCAUUGCUCUUUUUUCUUAGUUCUUCAAUAAAGCAUGCGAUUUGAUCACAAAU
This 1941-nucleotide long non-coding RNA is filed under the name Homo sapiens (human). RNAcentral's name for it is "long non-coding RNA NONHSAT159157.1". The record is from RNAcentral. Lineage: Eukaryota; Metazoa; Chordata; Mammalia; Primates; Hominidae.